CCCAAGUCCAACCCUAGCAACCGUAGGGCUAUAUGGCACCCUGAGCAAUAGCGGAAGGUAAUUAGGGGACCUCUCCUCUAUAUAAGCCCUCCUUGACGGGGGCAUACCACCAGAACGAUUGAAGAAGCCAAGCCAGUAGGAUAGCACUCCCAGAUCUGGCCGGCCGCCGCCGCCUUCUUCCCCUAUUCGGGCAAGACGACGAUGAAGCUGUGUAACGGGUUUGAUUCCUAUCUCUCUCUCCUUCUCUCUCUCUCUCUCUCUUCGUGUCGAGUUCUUGCUGCGUCUGCUUGGCACUUUGCAGUGGUGGUCGACGGUGGGAUGGGACGGGGCGCUGGUGAUGGUGGUGGAGUGGCUGACAGAAGAGAGUGAGCACGCAGCAGCCAGACUGCAUCUAAAUACGGCGAUAAAGACGACGGAUGGAUGGAUGCCUAGACGCAGCUGCUUUUGCGUGCUCACUUCUCUUUCUGUCAGCUCUCUCUCUCCCCUCGGGACUUGUUCUGCUACAUCCAUCUCCCCCCCUUACCAUUACCAUCGCUGCGCACCACUGCGUCGUGCAGCAGUUCUCGCAUCGAUCGCCGUGGUGGCACUGUUGCCUGCCGGCCUGGUCGUGUCCCCACCUGAACCCUUAUCUUGCCUCCCGCUCGGAUUUCGAUGGCCUGAGCUUUGGAAGAAGGUACUCUUAAAUUUCAUGGCAGCCGCUGCGCGCAUGCACGCCAUGGACCCUCGCGCCGGAUAAACACUCUUUCUUUUCUCGGUGAGCUUCUCGUUGCCAUCUUUGUGCCUUCCGAUGAUGGAAUAUUAGCAGGGCCUUCAGCCUUGGGGGAAGAGGACGCGUGAUGUGAUUUGAUUAACACUGCUCUUUGCUCGCCUUCCUGGUGUGCUUAACUGAAAGCACUGUUUGACUAGUCCUUGAUACCCCCUUCUCCCUCCCUGCCCCUUCCUCUUCUCUCACUUAUCUACUCUCUCCUCCCCUUUCCCGUAGAGAUUUCACAGCAAAAAAUGAAUUUUUUUGUUCCCUUUGCUUUGCUCAUCUCAUGUGAUGCAGUGAAUGUUGCGAGGUAAGUGGGAAGCAGCCAUGGAAGUGGUGGUGAGAGGCAGAUCUGAUUGGUUGCAAGUGGAAAGGGGCCACCUACCGGCGGCGGCUUCCAGAUCUGGAAAUGUUUCUUCUCCGAAUAAAGCGCUUGUUUAACCGUACCAUUGACUGGGCAAUCAUCCUGGAGAUUUCACACUAGAUAUGCAACACCAAAAUUACAGACUUGCAUUUGUGGUUUCGGUGCUGCUAUAUCAUUCGUGAUCCAUUAGGUCUGCAUAUCCAUCUCUCUUUUACGCUGUAAGUGCAGAAAAACUGCAGUGGUCCUGCUAUAUAUAUGGAUGGUGCUUAUGAUUUAUGUUGUUUGUUCCCACUUUUUUUGUUAAUUUCUGGCUUUUGCAAAUUUUAUUGACAAUAUCUAGCUAGUGAUGUUUAUAAUGACAAUGUGUGGGCUCUAUCUGACAUUAUAUAAUCAAAACUAACCAGUGUUCUUGUGCAGUGCCCUCUUGCUAACCAAAGCAUAUACAAAAAUUUUAUCAGUAUUGAUUAUGAGUUAAAUGUUGACUAUAAUUGUUUAACGGAACAAAAAAUGCUUCCUUAGAGAAGGUGCUGGGUGCAUGUGUAUGCUACUGAAGGUGAUUGACCGCUCACAAAAUCUCAGUCUACCAAAAAGAUGUUUAAUCUGCACUGAAGUCCAGUUGCUGGAUCAUCGAGCUAACUCCAUUGUUGUUGGAAAACAAGAAGACAAAUUAGGAUACAAUCAUGCAUUCAAACAUCUGAAGGGACUUUCCAUCACCAGUGUUACAUGUUUCUGUCUAAAUACAACAUUCCAUUAAAUCUGCUCAAUAUGUUUAGGCCAAUUUUCAUAAAUAUUUGAACAUACAUAAGGAAAGUUAACUUCUCUAUAAUCUCAUAGUGCUACCAUUUUAGUACGUUUGUGUUUUUAACAAGUGGAUAAUGAUAAAGAACCGUACAUUAAUUGUAAUGCAUUAUCAAUGUAACUGCACCAUCGUCACCGUAGGUGUAUGGACCUGCUUCUUGUACCCUUUUACCUAGGAUACACUCAAUGAAACUAAGAGUGUGUUUGGAUGGCUGCAUUUGCCUCAACCAGGCCCCAUGAGAUGCAAAUUUUUGGUGUUUGGUUACCUAUAUAGCCUCCUAGGCCUAGCUCAUCGCAUGCAAAAUGCCCCUCGGUGCUUGGCCUAGUAGGUACGCUGAAAUCGGUUGUUUCCAGCGAACCAGGCUAGCGUAGUGCAACCGAGCACAACGCGUGGGCUCCGCACAUGCAAGGCGCGGAAGCCUGAGGAAGCGUAUGGUCACCACCCUAUUUCAUGCCACCAUCCCUAUUAUAAUCCCUCAUUGCUGCCACAACUACCUCAACUCUCUUCUCUCGGUCGAAAAGGCUCAUCAGAGAUCGUGUAGAGGGCUCAGCUUGCCUUGCGUAGGGAAAAGAGGCAAGUAAUCCCCCAUCCAUCCAUUUCUCUCUCCAUUUUCUUGGUGCCAGUGGCAAAAUCUUGUUUUAUUUGUGGUUCUUUGCUCAGUUCUACUAACAUGGAUCUUUCAUCCCAUUCUAUUUUCACUGUGUAGGGUGUUGUCUGUUGUUCUGUGUGCGCUCAAGGUAAAAAGGUAAUUGAUUCUGAGAUGGACUUCGAUUGUUACAUGUUUCUUACUUCCUUUGCAUAAAUCGAUGUUCGUUCUUGAAAAAAAAAAUUAUGCAGAUUUUCCCCUCCCAUCCUUCUUUCUAUUGUGUGCACGUAUGUGGUCUCCUCUUCCCGGACCUUGCCAUGCUCCUGUGAAGGUAAAGAGGAAUGUGCUCCCCCUCCCCUUCCCCCUCCAUGUGGUGCAUGCUAUUCUUGUGCUAUUUCUUUGUAUGAUUUACCAUUUGAUUAUGUAGCUAAUAUGCCAUUACUUGUUAUAUGAUAUAAACUGGCUUGAUUUAGUUAAUGUAAAUGGAAAUAAAUUUUGAGCAUUUGUUCCUACCCAUGAUGUGUAAGUGUUUAUAUGAGCUCAUGUCAAUGUUGUUGUUGUUUACUUAUGAAUAUGAGCAUAUGUUCAUGUCGAUAUGUUAAUGUGAAUAAGAGCAUAUGUCAAUACCCAUUUUUUCUAAAUAUGACCAUUUGUGAAUAAGAGCAUAUGUUAAUGCCCAUUUUUUCUAAAUAUGAGCAAAUGUCCAUGAUAUUUUGACACCUUUUUCUUUUCGAUUUGUCUAGAUGGUGUUGGAAAAUACAAGAUGUAUGCUUUUUAUUAAGGUAGCAUCUCUUGUCACUAUUCUCUAUGUAUUCUUUGUGAGUAGACUUAUAAUAGGACUCUAUUCAAAACCUGUGAUCACUUAUGCCCCACUGUUUGAGAGAGACAAAGAAUGUGAAGCUAACCUGAAUUAAAUAUACAAUUGUAGUGAUGUAGAACGUAUAGAUAUGCUUUGCAUGAGAAGAGCUUCAUUUUUUCACCUAUGCAACUUGCUUAAGGAAAGGAAUCUUUUAUGAGAUAGCAUUCAUAGCAGAGUAUAAGAACAAGUAUCAAUGUUCCUACACGUGGUCGACCAUAACCAAAGGGUUAGGGUUAUCCAUCAACCCUUAAGAAGGUCCAUAGAGAUAGUGAGCCGAUACUUCAAGGAGAUCUUGCAUGCUAUUGGAGAGCUUAGGAAUGAGAUGGUAAAGCUACUAUCUAAUGAGACUCCACUAAAGAUAAAAAACAGUACAGGAUGGUAUCCAUAUUUUAAGGUAAUAAAAUUGUCAUAUAGUUUGAUGGGCUUAUGUUGCAUACAUGGCUGCAUAUCAAGUAAUGACAAUUGUUGGGACUCAUAUAUGAUUAUGUGGGUGCAAUCGAUGGUACUCAUGUGCAUGCUAGAGUACCUAAGGAGGCUCCUGCCUCUUUUAGGGGUAGGAAAAUGUGCUAGCUGUAGUUGAUUUUGAUCUAAGGUUCACAUAUGUCUUAGCUGGUUGGGAGGAUUUAGCACAUGACACUCUCAUUCUUGCUGAUGCAUUAGAGUGGCAUGAUGGGUGAAGGUUUCCACUAGGUAAAUAAGAAUCCUAUAAUAACCAAUAAAAUUCUAUCAUUGCAUAAACACUACAACUAAUGCAUAUGCAUAAAUUUUUCUAGGAAAAUUCUACCUAGUUGAUGAUAGACAUGCAUGUUGUUCGAGAUUCCUUCCUCCUUACCCAGCUACUAGAUACCAUCUGAAAGAGUAUGGUGGAAGAAAGUACCUAACUAGAGUUGUUCAACUUAAGACCCUAUAGUCUAUGUGUGUCUGUUGAGAGGGCUUUUGGGGGCAUUGAAGAAUCAUUUUCACAUUAACGACAACAAACUAUUUCAUUCAUUCAAGACACAAGUCAAAUUAGUUUUUGUAUGUUGCAUAAUUGGAUAGUAGGGCAUCAAGCGCUCACAACCUUAUCUCUCUUGGGGUUCUUCUUGCGCUUGCUCUUCACCACAUCAUGCGGCACUAGGCUUAACCGUGCCCAAUUUCUUUUGGUUGGUCUUGUGGACCUCCUUGACUAGAUCCACCCUCUGGUUCAUCUAGUUUCCACUGUUGUCUUCGCGUUUUCAUAUGCUAUUCCCAUAGUGUGCCAAUUUGCACGUACUUCCUGCAAAAUAUCAUAUGCACAAAACACAACAUACUCACAAAUAUGGUUAAUAUUAGGUGCCAAAUGACAUAAGCAAUCAAAUACAUAUAUCCACUAAAUUGAUAGCAAAUAUGUGACGAUAACUAGAGUCAACAUUGGUUGGUCAUGGCGGGAGAUAGGGGAGCACGACGAGGUGAAUGUGGCAGAGAGCGGCGAAGAGAGGAGGCGGAUGGCGGUGGCGUAAGGACAAUGCGAGACCCAGUGUGGCGGCGACGGUGGCUUGGAAGGCGGACAUUCAUGGUUGUAGGUCGCAGCCGAGCUUGAGGAGGCCAUGGCAUCCGCGAAGAAGAAGAGACAAGGAAAAAGACCAUGUUGUCCUCAAUAAUGUGGUGAAAGUAGCAAUGAGCACCAAUUCAUCUCUAUCUGGUGGCAAAAAUCAAAGUCAGUCCAGAUGGUGGCAUUUAAGAGUGCACUAUCAGAUAGAGUGGCCAAAAGUUAAAUUUCCUAGAUCAAAGGCUUGAUCUAUCACCAUUCAUUUUGCUAAUUAAUCCAACACUCCGAGUCGGUGCCACCAUUUGGCUCCUGUGUGGCAAUAUAUGUUGUUUAUAUUCUCCUGUAUGCAAUAUCUAGAAUUAUUGUCGUCGCUCUAAAAUGUUUUGUUUAGUAGAAACUCACGAAGCCUCAAAAGUUUCGAAAGUAACCCAAAUUUUCAAUUCCUUUCCUUAAAAAAGUGAACUACAGUGUCUUGACAGACCAUCCUGAAGACACUGCGGGGUUUUCUGGUAGAGCCAUAGGGUCAAUUUUAUAAAGAUUUAAAAAUCUUUUCCUCAGUUUGCCAAUUUCCUUUCCUUGUUGUUAACUACAAGAAGAACCUCAAGUUUAAUUUCGACAUACUACUGCACCCUCCUAUUAAGUAUUAACUCAUGGAUCAUGGGCCCUUUAACUAUUAGCUCGUGAGUACUCUUUACUUUCUUAGUUGCUUAAUUUUCCAUGACACUAUUCUAUAAAUAGCGACCUGUUGCUACUUCAAAUCACAUUUCAUAUCUCGCCACGAAUUCUUGUCAUCUGGUCGGUACAUGUAUAUCCCGUUUAAUUUAAUUUGUUUCAAGUUCUUGCUAUGACCUCCUGUGCUAGCUGCUUCACUAGUGAAGAUGGAUCAGAGCUGUUGAUGCAUCACCAGGCGUCCAGGAGACCAGGACCACGCUGCUGACACUGUGACACACUUCUGCUGCAGAAACCCAUGGUGCUCGAGCUCGCCAACAUCGGCUUCGGCUGCUCAGCAAAAUGCCGAUCGAGACUGCCUCCACAAAUGUGGCGAUGAAUGUCGAGGCAGUGGUCCAGACAGUUGGUACCGCUGUACGGCAGAAACCCAUGGUGCUCGAGCUCGCCGACAUCGGCUUCGGCUGCUCAGCAAAAUGCCGAGACUGCCGUCACAAAUGUGGCGAUGAAUGUCGAGGCAAUGGUCCAGCUAGUUGGUACUCCUGUAUGCCACGAGAUGUGUCUUUUGCGUGAAGCCUGCGGAGAGCCGUGAGGAGAUGCUUUAGGAUGGACGUGAAGCAAUCCGUGAAUCUAGUCUAAUUCAAUUUGAAAUAAUUAGUUAAUUAAUUAAGUUGAACUAAAGUGGAUUCAUAGAUAUCUACGGAUUGCUACACCCUCAUCCCUAAAUGCUUCAGCUCACGCGUAUGGAUGGUACUCCACGAGCAAUCACCUGUACAAGUUCAUCCAUUGCUUGUUCAAGUUUCAUCAAAUUUGUAUAGUAGUCUCCCAGCCCAUGAUCCUCUUAGCCGAUCAGAGGUACAAUAUAAUUCAGUUUCUUGUGUUUAUUUCUAUUGUUCUUGAUA
Molecule: long non-coding RNA, 6431 nt
Organism: Phragmites australis (common reed)
Lineage: Eukaryota; Viridiplantae; Streptophyta; Magnoliopsida; Poales; Poaceae
Exons: 3
Source: RefSeq, a predicted model, not a curated record